GGCGGCAUGCCUAACACAUGCAAGUCGAACGAGACCUUCGGGUCUAGUGGCGCACGGGUGCGUAACACGUGGGAAUUUGCCUCGGGGUAUGGAAUAACUCAGGGAAACUUGAGCUAAUACCAUAUAAUGUCUUCGGACCAAAGAUUUAUCGCCCUGAGAUAAGCCCGCGUAGGAUUAGCUAGUUGGUGGGGUAAAGGCUCACCAAGGCGACGAUCCUUAGCUGGUCUGAGAGGAUGAUCAGCCACACUGGGACUGAGACACGGCCCAGACUCCUACGGGAGGCAGCAGUGGGGGAAUAUUGGACAAUGGGCGAAAGCCUGAUCCAGCAAUGCCGCGUGAGUGAUGAAGGCCUUCGGGUUGUAAAGCUCUUUUACUCGGGACGAUAAUGACGGUACCGAGAGAAUAAGCCCCGGCUAACUCCGUG
RNAcentral lists this ribosomal RNA (424 nucleotides) under uncultured bacterium. RNAcentral describes it as "bacterial SSU rRNA". It matches the Rfam family "Bacterial small subunit ribosomal RNA", at positions 38 to 507 of the family's 1533-position model. The record is from RNAcentral.